Molecule: ribosomal RNA, 520 nt
Filed under: uncultured Archaeospora
Lineage: Eukaryota; Fungi; Glomeromycota; Glomeromycetes; Archaeosporales; Archaeosporaceae
Description: SSU rRNA
Rfam family: Eukaryotic small subunit ribosomal RNA
Source: RNAcentral
AGCAGCCGCGGUAAUUCCAGCUCCAAUAGCGUAUAUUAAAGUUGUUGCAGUUAAAAAGCUCGUAGUUGAAUUUUAGGCCUGGCCGGGCGGUCCGUCUUUGGCGAGUACUGUCUGUUGUCGGGUCUCCCUUCUGGUGAACCAAUAUGUCCUUUAUUGGGUGUGCUGGGGAGCCAGGACCAUUACCUUGAAAAAAUUAGAGUGUUUAAAGCAGGCUUUUGCUUGAAUAGAUUAGCAUGGAAUAAUAGAAUAGGACGUUGUGGUUCUAUUUUGUUGGUUUCUAGGACCACCGUAAUGAUUAAUAGGGAUAGUUGGGGGCAUUAGUAUUCAAUUGUCAGAGGUGAAAUUCUUGGAUUUAUUGAAGACUAACUAUUGCGAAAGCAUUUGCCAAGGAUGUUUUCAUUAAUCAAGAACGAAAGUUAGGGGAUCGAAGACGAUCAGAUACCGUCGUAGUCUUAACCAUAAACUAUGCCGACUAGGAAUCGGGCGACGUUAUUUUAAUGACUCGCUCGGCGCCUUAUGG